This 816-nucleotide ribosomal RNA is filed under the name Triticum aestivum (bread wheat). RNAcentral's name for it is "partial small subunit ribosomal RNA". Lineage: Eukaryota; Viridiplantae; Streptophyta; Magnoliopsida; Poales; Poaceae. The record is from RNAcentral.
AUGGCAUUAUCUGGACGGCUCAUACAGUUGCCACCAAUUAAUGUUCCUUUAAAAGUUUCAAGCAACCCUAAGUUCAUGUCGUACUUUCAGGAUUGUAUCGGAGCAAUUGAUGGGACACAUGUUCCGAUUAGCAUAUCUCCGAGACUACAAGACCCAUAUCGCAAUAGAAAAGGAACAUUAUCACAAAAUGUCAUGGUGGCAUGUAAUUUUGAAAAUCAAUUCGUCCAUGUCAGUGCGGGCUGGGAAGGUUCAGCUUCUGAUGCUCGAGUGCUACAAGAUGCACUAGAAAACAAUUUCUAUGUGCCAGAGGGAAAAUUUUAUUUGUUUGAUGCAGGAUAUGCAUAUACACCUAAUUUUAUUGCACCCUACCGGAAUGUCAGGUACCAUUUGAACGAGCAAGCUAGAUGCAACCAAAGGCCACAGAAUGCUAAAGAGCUAUUCAAUCUCAGACAUGCACAAUUGCGUAAUCACAUAGAGCAUAUCAUUGGCGUUGUGAAGAAGCGUUUCCCAAUAUUGAAGUGUGCUUCACAUUAUCCAAUUGAAUCUCAACCUGAUAUUGUCAUAGCAUGUUGUGCACUUCAUAACUUUAUUUGCAAUCACGAGGGGGGAGAACAAUGGUUUGACCAAGUUGGCUCCAAUAUUGACCCAACAAAUAUAGUUGAUAUUCCAAAUGGGGAUGCAAAAUACAGAAGUGAUGUACAAUCUCUCAAUGAGCGGUGUGCAUUGGGUCAUUCAAAAAGGGAUCAAAUUGCUGAAUCCAUGUGGAAAGACUACUGUGAGUAUCUGCAGGAGCGCGCUAGAAGAAAUAGUGCAUGA